Molecule: small nuclear RNA, 103 nt
Filed under: Sus scrofa (pig)
Lineage: Eukaryota; Metazoa; Chordata; Mammalia; Artiodactyla; Suidae
Source: RNAcentral
UUGCUUCAGCAGCACAUAUUCUAAAAUUGGAACAAUACAGAGAAGAUUAGCACAGCCCCUGUGCAAGGAUGACAUACAAAUUCAUGAAGUAUUCCAUAUUUUU